Molecule: long non-coding RNA, 510 nt
Organism: Centruroides sculpturatus (bark scorpion)
Lineage: Eukaryota; Metazoa; Arthropoda; Arachnida; Scorpiones; Buthidae
Exons: 2
Source: RefSeq, a predicted model, not a curated record
UGUGACCGUAGCGUCGGCACCUCUUCGGCGCCCUGUCAGGAUGACACCACCGAGUCUCUAAGGGACUCGGAAAACGCGACUUUAUGUCACGAGAUUCGCGAGCGGUAGCGUGUGAGCGCUUGGAUUCGGAGUAGAGGUGAGGAGAGAGACGAGGAAGUGACUUACUCGGACUCCCUAUUUUCUAACAAAAAUUCCAUUUUAUUAAUAAACAAAGAAAAUACAGAGAUAUCGGGCAUAUUAUCGGACUUAAUUAUACUAUUCCGUUCGAGAGAGAGAGUUUACAACUGAAUCGCGGGUUGAUAAAUACCUUUCUUUUUCCUAGGUCGCAGAUCUGUAGUAUGAUGACACUCUUGACUCCUCUGAAAUGGUCUUUCCACUAGUUCUUGUCCGUUAAUUGGAUCUCGGAGGUGUGGAAGCACGGAAGUGGGAAUUGUAAUAUAUACCUGCUGAAGAGGGGCCAUCGGGUCCGAAACACGAACAAAGAGUGUACAGUACAGGUGAAAAACCAGG